Molecule: ribosomal RNA, 442 nt
Filed under: uncultured bacterium
Lineage: Bacteria
Description: partial 16S ribosomal RNA
Rfam family: Bacterial small subunit ribosomal RNA
Source: RNAcentral
CCUACGGGGGGCAGCAGUGGGGAAUAUUGGGCAAUGGGCGCAAGCCUGACCCAGCAACGCCGCGUGAAGGAAGAAGGCUUUCGGGUUGUAAACUUCUUUUAAGGGGGAAGAGCAGAAGACGGUACCCCUUGAAUAAGCCACGGCGAACUACGUGCCAGCAGCCGCGGUAAUACGUAGGUGGCAAGCGUUGUCCGGAUUGACUGGGUGUAAAGGGCGUGCAGCCGGAGAGACAAGUCAGAUGUGAAAUCCACGGGCUCAACCCGUGAACUGCAUUUGAAACUGUUUGCCUUGAGUGUCGGAGAGGUAAUCGGAAUUCGUUGUGUAGCGGUGAAAUGCGUAGAUAUAAGGAAGAACACCAGUGGCGAAGGCGGAUUACUGGACGAUAACUGACGGUGAGGCGCGAAAGCGUGGGGAGCAAACAGGAUUAGAUACCCGUGUAGUC